Molecule: ribosomal RNA, 1216 nt
Filed under: metagenome
Description: SSU rRNA
Rfam family: Eukaryotic small subunit ribosomal RNA
Source: RNAcentral
UUCACGGUAUUGCAAUGAGAACAAUUUAAAACCCUUAGCGAGAAUCAAGUGGAGGACAAGUCUGGUGCCAGCACCCGCGGUAAUUCCAGCUCCACUAGCGUAUAUUAAAGUUGUUGCAGUUAAAAAGCUCGUAGUUGAACCUCUGUCUGGGGCUAGUUUUGGCUUUGGUCAGGCUAGUUCUAGGCAUCCGCCUACAAGACUUAGAGGGCAUUCAGUUGUUCACUAGGAGGAGUAGGCAUUUUACUUUGAAAAAAUUAGAGUGUUUAAGGCAGGCAAUCGCCCGCAUAUAUUAGCAUGGAAUAAUAGAAUAGGACACUUUUCCAUUUCGUUGGUUAUUGGAAUCGUGUAAUGAUUAAUAGGGACAGUUGUGGGCAUUUGUAUUUAAUUGUCAGAGGUGAAAUUCUUGGAUUUAUUAAAGACAAACUAACGCGAAAGCAUUUGCCAAGGAUGUUUUCAUUAAUCAAGAACGAAAGUUAGGGGAUCAAAGACGAUCAGAUACCGUCCUAGUCUUAACUAUAAACUAUUCCGACUCAAUGUUUGACUGGCUUAUAUAACCAGUUGAGCGUUGUAUGAGAAAUCAAAGUCUUUAGGUUCUGGGGGGAGUAUGGUUGCAAAGCUGAAACUUAAAGGAAUUGACGGAAGAGCACAACCAGGAGUGGAUUCUGCGGCUUAAUUUGACUCAACACGGGGAAACUUACCAGGUUAAAACAAUAGUGGGAUUGACAGUUUGAGAGCGCUUUCUUGAUUGGUUGGGUGGUGGUGUAUGGCCGUUCUUAGUUGGUGGAGUGAUUUGUCUGCUUAAUUGCGUUAACGAACGAGACCUUAACCUGCUUACUAGACUGGCGAUCAUCAAUCGUUAGCUCUUCUUAGAGGGACUUUGGUUGUUUUAACUCCAAGGAAGUUUGAGGCAAUAACAGGUCUGUGAUGCCCUUAGAUAUCCUGGGCCGCACGCGUCAUACAAUGACUAGUUCAGAAAGUUUUCUCCUGACCCGAAAGGGGAUGGGUAAUCUUGAUAAUACUAGUCGUGUUAGGGAUCGAUCUUUGCAAUUAUAGAUCUUGAACGAGGAAUUCCUAGUAAGUGCGGUUCAUCAGACCGUACUGAUUACGUCCCUGCUCUUUGUACACACCGCCCGUCGCUUCUACCGAGUGGGUGGUCCGGUGAGAUAAUUGAACUUCGCAGGUAACUGAGAGGAAAGAUUAUCAAACCUAUCCACCU